This 398-nucleotide ribosomal RNA is filed under the name uncultured bacterium. RNAcentral's name for it is "bacterial SSU rRNA". It matches the Rfam family "Bacterial small subunit ribosomal RNA", at positions 361 to 776 of the family's 1533-position model. The record is from RNAcentral.
AUCUUGGACAAUGGGGGAAACCCUGAUCCAGCGAUGCCGCGUGAGCGAAGAAGGCCUUAGGGUUGUAAAGCUCUUUCGCCCACGACGAUGAUGACGGUAGUGGGAGAAGAAGCCCCGGCUACCUCCGUGCCAGCAGCCGCGGUAAUACGGAGGGGGCUAGCGUUGUCCGGAAUUACUGGGCGUAAAGCGCGCGUAGGUGGUCCACCAAGUUGGGGGUGAAAGCCCGGAGCUCAACUCCGGAAUUGCCUCCGAGACUGAUGGACUAGAGUUCGGGAGAGGAGAGCGGAAUUCCCAGUGUAGAGGUGAAAUUCGUAGAUAUUGGGAAGAACACCGGUGGCGAAGGCGGCUCUCUGGCCCGUAACUGACGCUGAGGCGCGAAAGCGUGGGGAGCAAACAGG